This 1418-nucleotide long non-coding RNA is filed under the name Leguminivora glycinivorella. RNAcentral describes it as "uncharacterized LOC125237101". The record is from RNAcentral. Lineage: Eukaryota; Metazoa; Arthropoda; Insecta; Lepidoptera; Tortricidae.
AUGCACUUAAAUGGCCAAAGUCUUAGUGUAGUGUAUGACCCGCCACAUUUAAUCAAAGGAGUGAGGAAUAACUUCUUGACGAAGAAUAUUAUAAUGGACGUCGAAGUGGCAAGACUUGGUGGACGUGUACCGCACGGACUGCCGCCACGCGCAAGCUCGCCUGCUGCGCAAGCUCAACGACGAGCACAUACUCCCGGACAAAAUCAAGAAAAUGAAGGUGAAAAACUGUGUGCGUGUUUUCAGUCAAACCAUGGCAGCAGCUUUAUCCUACACAGCUUCAUUUUCGCACUACGCGGACGGCACGCCUGUGAACGCUACGCUGUACAAAACGGCAGAGCUGGUGGCCUUCCUCGAUGACCUGUUCGACAGCAUCAACGGCGCCAGCACCCACCAAAAGCAUACAACGGAAAGCAAUUGCGGACUGCCGUAACUGAAAACUCAAAACAACGAUUUCUGGAUGAAGACGAUAGAAUUCCGUGAUAUCAACGGAAAAUUGACAAAAGUUCCGACGUUGAAAAAUUGGUUGACAACUUUAAAAAGCUACCAAAGGCUGUGGCAGGUCAUGAACGAAAAAACAUCAAGAUAAUGCGCCCGCGGUAUUUUAAUUCCGACGCAAUAGAAUUUUUUUUCGGAAGAGUGCGGGCUUGCAACGCCAGAAAUAACGACCCUCCAUGCUUUUGAGUGCACUUUUAAGUCACUAAUAGUGACUAAUUUAAUAAAAAUUCACCAAAAUACAUUUAAUUGUGAGGAAGACUGUGCUGAGGAAGUUAUUAAAAUUCAGUAGUUGUUUGCGCACACUGAAGAAGACAAUGCAAUGAUCGAGGAUAGUACCAUAUCGGUUGAUUCUGCGUCUUCAUCAUUAUCAACCUUCACCGAUCGUGAAGACGGCGCAGAACAAGUAAUCGUGCAAGCCACACGGGAGCGUCUGGAUGUACACUCACGGGCAUAUACCGCGGGAUGGGUCACAAGAAUAGUAUUAAAAAUAUUGAAAUGAUUGAAUGAUUGUGAGAAAGACUUAACAAUGGAAGAAACGGAUAUCCAAAAGCGAAUACAAUGUAAAAAGAAUAAAUUGACCUAUCCCUCGGAACAUGCUGUGAGGUUUUUUGGGAACAUUGUAGACGAAUCGAAUGAAUAUUUGGAACAAUGCCCAUAAAGCAAACAUCAAAAAACAAAUUACUCAAGUUGUACUUUCCAAAUAUUCAUUCGAUUUUGUCAAAUGCGAAAUGCAGCGUGUUUUAGCAGGGCAGACGUUUAUAUCUGUAUCUCUGACAUUGUCGAUCUUCAACUGGUGCAUUACUAUAAAUAAAAUUUUAAAAGGUACUGAUGUGUCACGACUGACCAUUAAAAACUUGUCUCAAAUGCAAGCACAGGCUUUCAGAAAAUAUAAAAAAAGGUUUAGAAAUAAAUGAUAGUGUUUA